GCUGCCCGCCCGCCCUUCUACAGACAGUCACUGAGGAGGCGGCCAGAGCCUGGGCUGCGACCCUUACUGCAGCUGCUGAGUAAAAUUGUGAGGAAAAAUAUCCAAAAAUAUAUAUAUUUACCAGUACUAGUCAGAUGGUGGAGUACAGCAAGAAAGCCCACAUUAUCUGAGACCAUCACUGACAACGAUCAGUGCUGGCAGGUGGCAGAAGAGGCUGAACUGUUCUUACCUUGGAUAAACCUAGUCAGUGCUGCGGGAGGUGUUUCAGCCUUCAAGCUGUCAUGCCUCAGGUGGCUGAAGCUGCUCUAUUGGAAAGUAGAGGACAAGCGGAGGCUGCCAGAGCUGGAGGACAUGAUGAAACUUGUUCAGGAUCUGAGACCUGGCAGAAGAUCAGCUACAGGAAGAGAUGCCUGA
This 414-nucleotide long non-coding RNA is filed under the name Anser brachyrhynchus (Pink-footed goose). Its description in RNAcentral is "lncRNA (ENSABRG00000002024.1)". The record is from RNAcentral. Lineage: Eukaryota; Metazoa; Chordata; Aves; Anseriformes; Anatidae.